ACACCCCUCAAGCCUGGCUUGGUAUUGGGCGUCGGGACCCCUCCCGCGCCCCGAUUUCGCCGGCUGGACGACUCCGAUCUCUCAAGCGUUGUACAAUCUCGCUGGCGAGACGGGCGGCCACGCCGUUAACCUUUAAUCAAAUCG
RNAcentral lists this unclassified non-coding RNA (144 nucleotides) under uncultured Devriesia. RNAcentral's name for it is "sequence contains ITS2". The record is from RNAcentral. Lineage: Eukaryota; Fungi; Ascomycota; Dothideomycetes; Mycosphaerellales; Teratosphaeriaceae.